GCCAAGUGCUGUAGGUAGAACUCAGGGUCCGAAAUAGAUUGAAGCCAUCAGAAGCUAAGCCAAACCUAACACUGCGAACAUCAGAGGCAAAAUCAGGAUGCCUAUCAUCAAAUGCUUUUCAUUGAAGACUAUCUGCUGAAUGUCUCAACAUUUUAUCCUUUGUACGUCCUUCAUCAUGCCAUCUCAUUGAUGAAGCUGUUUUUGAUGAUGCAUAAAUUCUUUUCAAUCUAGGUAUAAGAGAAAAGUAACGCAAUACCUUGGCCGAUUUCUUUUUACUCCGUGUUGCAUCCAAUUCAUUCAGUACGUCGUCUCGAUCUUCUUUUUGUGUUAUCUAUCUUGAAGAUCCACAUACAUUGCAUGACUCUUGAUUAGCAUUUUCACCCCGAUAUAACAUACAAUCUUUCGGACAACUAUGAAUCUUUUCGUAUCCAAGAUCCAAUUCCUUUACUACUUUCUUAGCUUCAUAAUACGAUGGUGGUAAACGAGUGCUUUCUGAAAAUGCAUCCUUUAAUAACUUGAGCAGCAUGGUAAAACUCUUCCCAGACCAUCCAUUCAAAU
RNAcentral lists this long non-coding RNA (558 nucleotides) under Elaeis guineensis (African oil palm). RNAcentral's name for it is "long non-coding RNA (EGUI_LNC082741)". The record is from RNAcentral. Lineage: Eukaryota; Viridiplantae; Streptophyta; Magnoliopsida; Arecales; Arecaceae.